Molecule: ribosomal RNA, 274 nt
Filed under: uncultured bacterium
Lineage: Bacteria
Description: partial 16S ribosomal RNA
Rfam family: Bacterial small subunit ribosomal RNA
Source: RNAcentral
AUACGGAGGGUGCAAGCGUUGUUCGGAAUUACUGGGCGUAAAGCGCGCGUAGGUGGUCUGUUAUGUCAGAUGUGAAAGUCCACGGCUCAACCGUGGAAGUGCAUUUGAAACUGGCAGACUUGAGUAUUGGAGGGGGUAGUGGAAUUCCCGGUGUAGAGGUGAAAUUCGUAGAUAUCGGGAGGAAUACCGGUGGCGAAGGCGACUACCUGGCCAGAUACUGACACUGAGGUGCGAAAGCGUGGGGAGCAAACAGAAUUAGAAACCCCAGUAGUCC